The sequence is a non-coding RNA, 781 nucleotides long. The stretch from base 372 to 771 matches the Rfam family "Microsporidia small subunit ribosomal RNA", at positions 752 to 1303 of the family's 1311-position model.
AUAAAGUUUUAUCUUGGCUUUAUUAUUUUUUGUUGUGUAAUUUUACAUGUAAAAUUUAAAGGGUUUAAAUGUAUUUCUUAAGGAAAUUUAAUUAUUGAUAUUCGCAGUAUUUUAUAUUAAAAAUUAAUGAUAGUUAGAAUUAGUUAAUACAUAUAGUUCUGGUUAAAUUUGUGCCAGCUACCGCGGUUAUACAAAAGGGGUAAAAGAAUAUUAUUAGUUAAAAUUAUCUGUUGGUUAAAGAUUUUAAAUAUUAAAUAGUUAGGUGAAAUUUUUAUUUAAAGGAUUUUCUAUAAUUAUAAUGGGAGGUUAGAAAAUUAAAUUAUAAACUGGGAUUAGAUACCCCAUUAUUUUGAUUGUUAUAAAAAUAACUAGAGUAGUAAGAGUUAUGGUCUUGAAACUCAAAAGAUUUGGCGGUGUUUUAACCUUAUCAGAGGAACUUGCCCUGUAAUCGAUAAUCCCCGUUUAUGCUACUUAAAUUGAUGUAGUUUGUAUACCGCCGUCAACAGAGUAAUUUAAAAGAUGCUAUUCAAGAAUUUACAUGAAAAUAUAUGUCAGGUCAAGGUGCAGCUAAUGUUUAAGCAGAGGUGAGUUACAAUAAAAAUAUUUAAAUGGAUUAUAUUUUGUAAUAAAUAUUUGAAGGUGGAUUUGGUUGUAAUAUAAUUUAUAUAGAUUAUAUGAUAAGGCUCUAAAACAAGUACACAUCGCCCGUCGCUCUCAUUUAUUAAGGUGAGAUAAGUCGUAACAUAGUAAGUGCACCGGAAGGUGUAUUUAGAAAGUUAAC